CAACUACAACAAAAACAUUCGACUCCAAAACCAGACGGGACGGGUGAGAGAGCUUUGAGCGAAAAGGUAGAAGCAACAAUGAAAAUCGAUUGUUCUCCUGGCCGUCCUGUUCACGGGGAUCCUCGCCCAGCCAUCGGGCUAUUUCCCCAAGUGCUGCGACAACUGCAGGUCCUUCUCGGGGAUCGACGUCGGUGACGACGCCCAUCCUGAGUGCCCCAAGGGCUGCUUGCAGUGCCGCGUGGUGCAGACGAGCCCUGCCAAGACGUUCAGGUGCGCCGACUACCGCGGAGACUCCGACGACACGUGCGGCCCGCCCUGCAAGAAAAACUGAUGGGUUAAGCUCAGAUCACGAAAUGUUUCGCCCAAAAUAAAAGCUCAGACGAGAUGAGCACGGUCACUGUGUUUGUGUGUACAUUUGCCCUGCGUUGUACCAUCGCCAUGGUUUCAUCAUCACCAUUGUUGUUGUUUUGUGUUCAAGAGUAAGUUGUUGUUGAUCGCCUAUCAGGUGCCUGUUGUAUCCUCCAUGAAAUAAACACCUGACUAAAGUGUGUCUCUGCCUAAUCAGAUGCAAAGAGUAACCUA
This is a long non-coding RNA of Triticum aestivum (bread wheat), 582 nucleotides long. RefSeq lists it as uncharacterized. Lineage: Eukaryota; Viridiplantae; Streptophyta; Magnoliopsida; Poales; Poaceae. The transcript has 2 exons. The record is from RefSeq and is a predicted model, not a curated record.